This 203-nucleotide ribosomal RNA is filed under the name uncultured bacterium. RNAcentral describes it as "partial 16S ribosomal RNA". It matches the Rfam family "Bacterial small subunit ribosomal RNA", at positions 1298 to 1500 of the family's 1533-position model. The record is from RNAcentral.
UUGCAGCCUGCAACUCGGCUGCAUGAAGCUGGAAUCGCUAGUAAUCGCGGAUCAGAACGCCGCGGUGAAUACGUUCCCGGGUCUUGUACACACCGCCCGUCACACCAUGGGAGCCGGAAACGCCCGAAGCCAGCGGCCCAACCGCAAGGGGGGAGCUGUCGAAGGCGGGGCCGGUGACCGGGGUGAAGUCGUAACAAGGUACC